GGAAGAAAUGGGUCACAAGCCGAGGGAGUUUGUGGUUGACGUCACCAAUAGGCCUAGUAUGAUUGCAAUGAAUAAUGUCGUCCAUAGGCGUUGGUCGGAUGAUAUGGAUAAUUAUCCUGAGUUUUCUUUUUGAGUUGUUCUCCUUCGCUUUUAAAGUUUUGUGCCCUUAGUCUGCGUCUUUGUGCUUUCAAGGGAUGUUUUUUCUUUUUCACUUUUUUUUAAUAAAUCUCAAUUUAAUAAU
Molecule: long non-coding RNA, 241 nt
Filed under: Salvia miltiorrhiza (redroot sage)
Lineage: Eukaryota; Viridiplantae; Streptophyta; Magnoliopsida; Lamiales; Lamiaceae
Description: long non-coding RNA (SMIL_LNC003439)
Source: RNAcentral